RNAcentral lists this ribosomal RNA (473 nucleotides) under Klebsiella pneumoniae. RNAcentral describes it as "bacterial SSU rRNA". It matches the Rfam family "Bacterial small subunit ribosomal RNA", at positions 1032 to 1505 of the family's 1533-position model. Lineage: Bacteria; Pseudomonadati; Pseudomonadota; Gammaproteobacteria; Enterobacterales; Enterobacteriaceae. The record is from RNAcentral.
AGACAGGUGCUGCAUGGCUGUCGUCAGCUCGUGUUGUGAAAUGUUGGGUUAAGUCCCGCAACGAGCGCAACCCUUAUCCUUUGUUGCCAGCGGUUCGGCCGGGAACUCAAAGGAGACUGCCAGUGAUAAACUGGAGGAAGGUGGGGAUGACGUCAAGUCAUCAUGGCCCUUACGACCAGGGCUACACACGUGCUACAAUGGCAUAUACAAAGAGAAGCGACCUCGCGAGAGCAAGCGGACCUCAUAAAGUAUGUCGUAGUCCGGAUUGGAGUCUGCAACUCGACUCCAUGAAGUCGGAAUCGCUAGUAAUCGUAGAUCAGAAUGCUACGGUGAAUACGUUCCCGGGCCUUGUACACACCGCCCGUCACACCAUGGGAGUGGGUUGCAAAAGAAGUAGGUAGCUUAACCUUCGGGAGGGCGCUUACCACUUUGUGAUUCAUGACUGGGGUGAAGUCGUAACAAGGUAACCGUAG